Molecule: ribosomal RNA, 253 nt
Filed under: uncultured bacterium
Lineage: Bacteria
Description: partial 16S ribosomal RNA
Rfam family: Bacterial small subunit ribosomal RNA
Source: RNAcentral
UACGGGGGGAGCAAGCGUUGUUCGGAUUUACUGGGCGUAAAGGGCGCGUAGGCGGCGCAACAAGUCACUUGUGAAAUCUCCGGGCUUAACCCGGAGCGGCCAAGUGAUACUGUCGUGCUAGAGUGCGGAAGGGGCUACUGGAAUUCCCGGUGUAGUGGUGAAAUGCGUAGAUAUCGGGAGGAACACCAGUGGCGAAGGCGGCUUCCUGGCCUGUUCUUGACGCUGAGGUGCGAAAGCUAGGGGAGCAAACGGG